CUUUUCUUGUUAGUUUUUGAAGUAUGGUCUGCCCGCUGACUUUAGGUUGAAGGGCCGCGGUAUUUUGACCGUGCAAAGGUAGCAUAAUCAUUAGUUCUUUAAUUGUGAUCUGGUAUGAAUGGCUUGACGAGGCAUGGUCUGUCUUGAAUUGGGAUUUGUUUAAUUGAAUUUGGUUUUUGAGUUAAAAUUCUUAAAUGUUUUUAUGGGACGAGAAGACCCUAUAGAGUUUGACAUUCGAUGUUUGGCUUGAUUUGGUUUGUUUGAGUUUAUGCUUUGUUUCGUUUGUUUUGUUGGGGUGAUGGGAGGAAUUUUCUUAACUCCUCUUUAUUUUUGGUAUAUUUAUUUGUAUAUGUUUUGAUCCAUUUAUUUUGAUUAUAAGAUUAAAUUACCUUAGGGAUAACAGCGUUAUCCUCCUUGAGAGUUCUUAUUGGCGGGAGGGUUUGCGACCUCGAUGUUGGAUUAAGAUAAAUUUUUGGUGUAGGAGCUGAAUUGAUUGGGUCUGUUCGACCUUUAAAAUCUU
Molecule: ribosomal RNA, 520 nt
Filed under: Macrotermes falciger
Lineage: Eukaryota; Metazoa; Arthropoda; Insecta; Blattodea; Termitidae
Description: partial 16S ribosomal RNA
Rfam family: Bacterial large subunit ribosomal RNA
Source: RNAcentral